AUGGACGCCGUUGACUCCAUGGUGGACCCCCUCCGCGAGUUCGCCAAGGACAGCGUCCGCCUCGUCAAGCGCUGCCACAAGCCCGACCGCAAGGAGUUCACCAAAGUGGCGGCACGGACGGUGAUCGGGUUCAUCGUCAUGGGGUUCGUCGGCUUCUUCGUCAAGCUCAUCUUCAUCCCCAUCAACAACAUCAUCGUUGGCUCCGGCUAG
Molecule: ribosomal RNA, 210 nt
Filed under: Triticum aestivum (bread wheat)
Lineage: Eukaryota; Viridiplantae; Streptophyta; Magnoliopsida; Poales; Poaceae
Description: partial small subunit ribosomal RNA
Source: RNAcentral